This 254-nucleotide ribosomal RNA is filed under the name uncultured bacterium. RNAcentral's name for it is "partial 16S ribosomal RNA". It matches the Rfam family "Bacterial small subunit ribosomal RNA", at positions 524 to 776 of the family's 1533-position model. The record is from RNAcentral.
UACGGGGGGAGCAAGCGUUGUUCGGAUUUACUGGGCGUAAAGGGCGCGUAGGCGGCCACCGCAGGUCAGUUGUGAAAUCUCUGGGCUUAACCCAGAAAGGUCAACUGAUACUGCGGGGCUAGAGUGCAGAAGGGGCAACUGGAAUUCUCGGUGUAGCGGUGAAAUGCGUAGAUAUCGAGAGGAACACCUGCGGCGAAGGCGGGUUGCUGGGCUGACACUGACGCUGAUGCGCGAAAGCUAGGGGAGCGAACGGG